GCGCUUGUCCUCUGUCUCCUACCUGCACAACCACUUUUUUUUCAUUUCAGAGAGAUGGAGAACGCUGGGGCGCUUCAGCAUUCUGGACACUGGGAUCCAGCAGAACAACAAGACAAUGAAGACCUGUAUUCAUCAUACGUUUGGAGAAGGAGAAGUUUGACCCCACCUCCCAACA
This is a long non-coding RNA of Pygocentrus nattereri (red-bellied piranha), 175 nucleotides long. RefSeq lists it as uncharacterized. The record is from RefSeq and is a predicted model, not a curated record. Lineage: Eukaryota; Metazoa; Chordata; Actinopteri; Characiformes; Serrasalmidae. The transcript has 3 exons.